GACGAACGCUGGCGGCGUGCUUAACACAUGCAAGUCGAACGGAAAGGCCCUGCGUUUGUGGGGUUCUCGAGUGGCGAACGGGUGAGUAACACGUGAGUAACCUGCCCUUGACUUUGGGAUAACUUCAGGAAACUGGGGCUAAUACCCGAUAGGAGCUCCUGCUGCAUGGUGGGGGUUGGAAAGUUUCGGCGGUUGGGGAUGGACUCGCGGCUUAUCAGCUUGUUGGUGGGGUAGUGGCUUACCAAGGCUUCGACGGGUAGCCGGCCUGGGAGGGUGACCGGCGACAAUAGGACUGAGGUACGGCCCAGACUCCUACGGGAGGCAGCAGUGGGGAGUAUUGCACAGUGAGCGGAAGCCUGAUACAGCAACGCCGCGUGCGGAAUGACGGCCUUCGGGUUGUAAACCGCUUUCGCCUGUGACGAAGCGUGAGUGACGGUAAUGGGUAAAGAAGCACCGGCUAACUACGUG
This 468-nucleotide ribosomal RNA is filed under the name uncultured bacterium. RNAcentral describes it as "partial 16S ribosomal RNA". It matches the Rfam family "Bacterial small subunit ribosomal RNA", at positions 28 to 507 of the family's 1533-position model. The record is from RNAcentral.